RNAcentral lists this long non-coding RNA (1006 nucleotides) under Sus scrofa (pig). Its description in RNAcentral is "lncRNA (ENSSSCG00015079560.1)". The record is from RNAcentral. Lineage: Eukaryota; Metazoa; Chordata; Mammalia; Artiodactyla; Suidae.
UAUGUAUUUUACAUACCUAGUAUUAAAUGAAUUCUUAUAGAAGGAAUGCACAAUUGUAGGGAAAGAGUUUAACAGAAGUAAACUUUAUUAGAGACUCCAUCUGUCCAGAUGCAAAAUAGACUGCCUCUAAAUUACUGAACUUGUGAUCACUUGACAUUUUUAGCCAAAGGAUGAAUGACCAUCUGUCAGUGAUGAGGAUGUUCCAGAAGGGUUUACACAAAUAGUGGAAUGGAAAGUUGAUGGUCUCUAAGGUCUUUUCUGACCUUUAUAUUGUGUGACUUACAAAUGAACUAUAAUACAACUUUUUUAAAGUUAGAAAUGCCAUUAUUUCACAGAUAAUUAUUCUGAAAUACUACAGGAUGAGACCCAUUGAGAGGUUUGCGCAUUAAAUAAUAAUCAAUGAUUGAGUAAAACAGUGACGUUGAGAUGAUUUUCUUUAUUUUUCUUCCUUUUCCAGAUAAGGAUUUGAAGACACACAUUGAUUAGUUGAGGCAUUAAAUUGAAGUUUGGUCUAGAUUAAGAUUUAGAGCUCAAGAUUCAAAAAGCUUCCUUUGCAUGUUACAUGGUGAAACCUUCAAUUUCUUAAGCCAUAAGAAAAGUAGAUAUCACAGUUAUAUAAUGAGACAUUUGGCAUUUGAAAAUUAAAGAUGCAAAAGGCUUAAAUACUUACACAUUUUUGAAAAUAGAGUAUGCUUUCUCUCUUAAUUAAACAAAACUAAAGUCACGGCCCAGGACACAUUAAGAUUUGUCCAGAAAUCUCCUGUUGUUGCUUCGGCUUUAGCUCUUCGAAGAAAGAUAAGAGUAUUCAACUUGUAACAGUGUAAGUACACAAUUAACAGAUUAUAAAUGAAGAUCUAAUGUGAUAUAAUUUAAAAUUUCUAUAAUUCAAUCAAAACUUCCCUAUCCUACCCAGUUGCUUCACAAUAUGCCCUCUUUCACCAUACUUUGCACAUUCUAACUAUUUCAACCCAGGUGUUUGUUCAUGGUGUACACUUACUUAAAUUCU